AUGUCGCAAAUACUACCUUCAAAUUCUGAGAAUAUUCCACCAAGUAAAGAAGCCAAUAUUAAUGACCAAAUUGGUGAGUUUACAUUUGAAGGAACAUCAUCCUCUUCAAUAUGGGGGAGGAUUUCUUCUGCUAUGGUGGAAGCUUGUGAAAAAAAUGUAAAAGGAACAUGGGCAUCUGGUAUUCUCAUGCACACACAACAGCGAAAAUCAUUUAUUAAACAAGGGGAGUGGAUGUCAGAACUUUGA
Molecule: ribosomal RNA, 246 nt
Filed under: Triticum aestivum (bread wheat)
Lineage: Eukaryota; Viridiplantae; Streptophyta; Magnoliopsida; Poales; Poaceae
Description: partial small subunit ribosomal RNA
Source: RNAcentral